RNAcentral lists this ribosomal RNA (253 nucleotides) under uncultured bacterium. RNAcentral's name for it is "partial 16S ribosomal RNA". It matches the Rfam family "Bacterial small subunit ribosomal RNA", at positions 524 to 776 of the family's 1533-position model. The record is from RNAcentral.
UACAGAGGGUGCGAGCGUUGUCCGGAAUCACUGGGCGUAAAGGGCGCGUAGGCGGCCCGGUAAGGUUGCGGUGAAAGCCCGGGGCUCAACCCCGGGUCGGCCGUGGCAACUGCUGGGCUGGAGCACAGUAGAGGCGGGUGGAAUUCCGGGUGUAGCGGUGGAAUGCGUAGAGAUCCGGAAGAACACCGGUGGCGAAGGCGGCCCGCUGGGCUGUUGCUGACGCUGAGGCGCGACAGCGUGGGGAGCGAACAGG